Molecule: ribosomal RNA, 478 nt
Filed under: uncultured bacterium
Lineage: Bacteria
Description: partial 16S ribosomal RNA
Rfam family: Bacterial small subunit ribosomal RNA
Source: RNAcentral
GACGAACGCUGGCGGCGUGCUUAACACAUGCAAGUCGAGCGAUGAAGUUCCUUCGGGAAUGGAUUAGCGGCGGACGGGUGGGUAACACGUGGGUAACCUGCCUAAUAGAGGGGAAUCGCCUGUCGAAAGGAAGAUUAAUACCGCAUAAGAUUGUAGUCUCGCAUGAUACAGCAAUUAAAGGAGUAAUCCGCUAUGAGAUGGACCCGGGUCGCAUUAGCUAGUUGGUGAGGUAAGGGGUGACGAAGGCGACGAUGCGUAGCCGACCUGGGAGGGGGAUCGGCCACAAUGGGACUGAGACACGGCCCAGACUCGUACGGGAGGCAGCAGUGGGGAAUAUUGCACAACGGGGGAAACCCUGAUGCAGCAACGCCGCGUGAGUGAUGACGGUCUUCGGAUUGUAAAACUCUGUCUUCAGGGACGAUAAUGACUGUACCUGAGGAGGAAGCCACGGCUAACUACGUGCCAGCAGCCGCGGUAA